CUGCGGAGGGAUCAUUACCGAGUUUACAACUCCCAACCCAAUGUGAACGUUACCAAACUGUUGCCUCGGCGGGAUCUCUGCCCCGGGUGCGUCGCAGCCCCGGACCAAGGCGCCCGCCGGAGGACCAACCAAAACUCUUAUUGUAUACCCCCUCGCGGGUUUUUUUAUAAUCUGAGCCUUCUCGGCGCCUCUCGUAGGCGUUUCGAAAAUGAAUCAAAACUUUCAACAACGGAUCUCUUGGUUCUGGCAUCGAUGAAGAACGCAGCGAAAUGCGAUAAGUAAUGUGAAUUGCAGAAUUCAGUGAAUCAUCGAAUCUUUGAACGCACAUUGCGCCCGCCAGUAUUCUGGCGGGCAUGCCUGUCCGAGCGUCAUUUCAACCCUCGAACCCCUCCGGGGGGUCGGCGUUGGGGAUCGGCCCUCCCUUAGCGGGUGGCCGUCUCCGAAAUACAGUGGCGGUCUCGCCGCAGCCUCUCCUGCGCAGUAGUUUGCACACUCGCAUCGGGAGCGCGGCGCGUCCACAGCCGUUAAACACCCAACUUCUGAAAUGUUGACCUCGGAUCAGGUAGGAAUACCCGCUGAACUUAAGCAUAUCAAUAAGCGGAAGA
RNAcentral lists this ribosomal RNA (605 nucleotides) under Trichoderma sp. INBio2855K. Its description in RNAcentral is "eukaryotic LSU rRNA". The stretch from base 218 to 371 matches the Rfam family "5.8S ribosomal RNA". The record is from RNAcentral. Lineage: Eukaryota; Fungi; Ascomycota; Sordariomycetes; Hypocreales; Hypocreaceae.